GUUCCCUGUUCUCGCCUCCUGCUCCGCCAUGGCUCCCAAAGGCAGCUGCAAACAGCAGUCUGAGGAGGACCUGCUCCUGCAGGAUUUCAGCCGCAAUCUCUCGGCCAAGUCCUCCGCGCUCUUCUUCGGGAACGCGUUCAUCGUGUCUGCCAUCCCCAUCUGGUUAUACUGGCGAAUAUGGCAUAUGGAUCUUAUUCAGUCUGCUGUUUUGUAUAGUGUGAUGACCCUAGUAAGCACAUAUUUGGUAGCCUUUGCAUACAAGAAUGUGAAAUUUGUUCUCAAGCACAAAGUAGCACAGAAGAGGGAGGAUGCUGUUUCCAAAGAAGUGACUCGAAAACUUUCUGAAGCUGAUAAUAGAAAGAUGUCUCGGAAGGAGAAAGAUGAAAGAAUCUUGUGGAAGAAGAAUGAAGUUGCUGAUUAUGAAGCUACAACAUUUUCCAUCUUCUAUAACAACACUCUGUUCCUGGUCGUGGUCAUUGUUGCUUCCUUCUUCAUAUUGAAGAACUUCAACCCCACAGUGUAUCCUUUUCAAGGUUGAUUAUCUUUUUUAGAAGUCAAGAAACAGUAGUUUUUGGUUUUGACUUGUCUGGAUAUUUUAGUGGAAAGAAAAACUGCUCUGGGAGUCAGUCCAUUAAAUAGUGCUGACUUUAGAUAACUUUCUGGACAUUUAAAAUAACAGCUACUGGUUUAAGAUUCUUUUAAGUUUAUGAAUUAUGACUGUAUGAUAAAGUAUUACAAAGUAGUCUAUGAGAAUAUGUGUCCUUGCCUCCUUAAAAAAAAGCUCCAAAGAGCCAAAGCAAACCUGUCAUUUUUGAUAGCUUCUGAAAUAAUAAGCCCCUGUAUCUGUUAUUUUUGGGCUCUGGGGGUUGG
Molecule: small RNA, 870 nt
Filed under: Pongo abelii (Sumatran orangutan)
Lineage: Eukaryota; Metazoa; Chordata; Mammalia; Primates; Hominidae
Description: retained intron
Source: RNAcentral